CCUACGGGAGGCAGCAGUGAGGAAUAUUGGUCAAUGGACGAGAGUCUGAACCAGCCAAGUAGCGUGAAGGAUGACUGCCCUAUGGGUUGUAAACUUCUUUUAUAUGGGAAUAAAACAGGGUAUGCAUACCCUCUUGUAUGUACCAUAUGAAUAAGGAUCGGCUAACUCCGUGCCAGCAGCCGCGGUAAUACGGAGGAUCCGAGCGUUAUCCGGAUUUAUUGGGUUUAAAGGAGCGUAGGUGGAUUGUUAAGUCAGUUGUGAAAGUUUGCGGCUCAACCGUAAAAUUGCAGUUGAAACUGGCAGUCUGGAGUACAGUAGAGGUGGGCGGAAUUCGUGGUGUAGCGGUGAAAUGCUUAGAUAUCACGAAGAACUCCGAUUGCGAAGGCAGCUCACUGGACUGCAACUGACACUGAUGCUCGAAAGUGUGGGUAUCAAACAGGAUUAGAUACCCCUGUAGUC
This 459-nucleotide ribosomal RNA is filed under the name uncultured bacterium. Its description in RNAcentral is "partial 16S ribosomal RNA". It matches the Rfam family "Bacterial small subunit ribosomal RNA", at positions 338 to 795 of the family's 1533-position model. The record is from RNAcentral.